CAGUCGCCGCGGGAAUACGAAGGGUGCAAGCGUUACCCGGAAUUACUGGGCGUAAAGCGUGCGUAGGUGGUGGUUUAAGUCCGUUGUGAAAUCCCCGGGCUCAACCUGGGAAUGGCAGUGGAUACUGGCUCGCUAGAGUGCGUCAGAGGAUGGUGGAAUUCCCGGUGUAGCGGUGAAAUGCGUAGAGAUCGGGAGGAACAUCAGUGGCGAAGGCGACCAUCUGGGACAACACUGACGCUGAGGCACGAAAGCUAGGGGAGCAAAUAGGAUUAGAUACCCCCGUAGUCCCUGUCUCUUAUAC
RNAcentral lists this ribosomal RNA (301 nucleotides) under uncultured bacterium. RNAcentral's name for it is "partial 16S ribosomal RNA". It matches the Rfam family "Bacterial small subunit ribosomal RNA", at positions 509 to 807 of the family's 1533-position model. The record is from RNAcentral.